Molecule: ribosomal RNA, 245 nt
Filed under: uncultured bacterium
Lineage: Bacteria
Description: partial 16S ribosomal RNA
Rfam family: Bacterial small subunit ribosomal RNA
Source: RNAcentral
GAUCAUGGCUCAGAUUGAACGCUGGCGGCAGGCUUAACACAUGCAAGUCGAGCGGGGGAAGGUAGCUUGCUACCGGACCUAGCGGCGGACGGGUGAGUAAUGCUUAGGAAUCUGCCUAUUAGUGGGGGACAACAUCUCGAAAGGGAUGCUAAUACCGCAUACGUCCUACGGGAGAAAGCAGGGGAUCUUCGGACCUUGCGCUAAUAGAUGAGCCUAAGUCGGAUUAGCUAGUUGGUGGGUAAAGG